CCUCCCCAACCCACACGCCAUCAACCUCCAGACCCUCUCGCCGUGGCUUAGAGGUGUCUCUGACAACGUGGCACACUGGGAAGGCCUUCUUUCCUGCUACCAAUACAAAUGCAUUCUGAAUUUGAUAUGUCAUUAAAUGUAAAAAUACAGCCAAUUUGAAACAAGCAAAUGGAAAUUCCCAGGAACCAAAAACAGAAAGAAAAAUCAGAGCUACCGCAGUGCUGUCCCUGCAGACAGAAUUUGGGAGAGGUACUCAGAGUCACCUCCUGUGAGCCUAUGCAAGCCAGCUCCUGCACAACCCUGGUUUUAGUCCAGCCUUCUGCAGAAUUCCACAUUAAACAGGAUGAAGAAUAGGUUGUUAGCAGACUGAGGUACUUGGGGCAACAUUUCGUACACAACAGGAGGGAGAAACGACUCCAGAAAAACAAUCAGAUUUUGGUGAAACUGAUGUUUGCAAGUGUGAGUGAGCCCCAUGUGCUGAAGCUUCAGGAACCCCUGAGAUGGCACAAGUUCUGCCGUACUGGGCAACGGAUGGUCUUGAAGCACACAAGACACUGGAAGACAUGAGGGCAAUUGCUACACGCCAAGCCCGGUGCCAAGCACGUUGUGCAGGUUGUUUCGUUGAUUCCGGGCCUGGCCUUUGAGAUCUGUGGAGGAUACCAUGAACUGGCUGGCUCUGCAUCCUGCUUGCAGGCGCUGGCAAGCUGGAACCUGCUUUUCUACGCCACACUGCAGAGGGCCCUGAAUGUGAUCUAUGAUUGCAACAAGCAGCCCUGAUGCGGAUCCGGAGGGCAGGGAUGACGUGGGGGCUGCCUUUCUGGUUGACCUGCUGGUAAGCAUGGCCUCAUGGAUCUAUCACCAACAGCACCCAGUCACUUGGGGAGGCCGAGUGGCAGGGCUGGGGCAUCCAUCAGGGUUUGAUUUUGCUUAUGUGGACCGGCAGGUGCAGCACAGCUGCAUUUUAGUGCAGGGCUUCCUGAUCCUGCUGCACAGCUAACACCGUUCUUCCCGAAGGCAGCAGCUCCCCCACGGGGCUGUUUCCCCAGUUCUGGGCAUCAGUCCCAGAGGCAAAGACGGGAGCCAUCCACUCUGACUCUGCCAACAAUUCUGUGAGCACCCAGUUCUCUGUAUGAAAUUCCUUUCUGCUUUAGAUAAUUAAAAUAACUUUUCUUCCCCUGCAA
Molecule: long non-coding RNA, 1181 nt
Filed under: Homo sapiens (human)
Lineage: Eukaryota; Metazoa; Chordata; Mammalia; Primates; Hominidae
Description: non-protein coding LINC00929:4
Source: RNAcentral